Molecule: small RNA, 29 nt
Filed under: Bombyx mori (domestic silkworm)
Lineage: Eukaryota; Metazoa; Arthropoda; Insecta; Lepidoptera; Bombycidae
Description: ovarian small RNA-30910
Source: RNAcentral
UGAAGAUGGUAUAGAGUCUAGCUCCCAAA